UAGGGAAUCUUCGGCAAUGGGGGCAACCCUGACCGAGCAACGCCGCGUGAGUGAAGAAGAUUUUCGGAUCGUAAAGCUCUGUUGUAAGAGAAGAACGUGUGUGAGAGUGGAAAGUUCACACAGUGACGGUAACUUACCAGAAGGGACGGCUAACUACGUGCCAG
Molecule: ribosomal RNA, 164 nt
Filed under: uncultured bacterium
Lineage: Bacteria
Description: partial 16S rRNA
Rfam family: Bacterial small subunit ribosomal RNA
Source: RNAcentral